This 482-nucleotide ribosomal RNA is filed under the name uncultured bacterium. Its description in RNAcentral is "partial 16S ribosomal RNA". It matches the Rfam family "Bacterial small subunit ribosomal RNA", at positions 30 to 507 of the family's 1533-position model. The record is from RNAcentral.
AUUGAACGCUGGCGGCAUGCCUUACACAUGCAAGUCGAACGGUAACGGGCCUUCGGGUGCCGACGAGUGGCGAACGGGUGAGUAAUACAUCGGAACGUGCCCGAUCGUGGGGGAUAACGAGGCGAAAGCUUUGCUAAUACCGCAUACGAUCUACGGAUGAAAGCAGGGGACCGCAAGGCCUUGCGCGGACGGAGCGGCCGAUGGCAGAUUAGGUAGUUGGUGGGAUAAAAGCUUACCAAGCCGACGAUCUGUAGCUGGUCUGAGAGGAUGAUCAGCCACACUGGGACUGAGACACGGCCCAGACUCCUACGGGAGGCAGCAGUGGGGAAUUUUGGACAAUGGGGGCAAGCCUGAUCCAGCCAUGCCGCGUGCAGGAUGAAGGCCUUCGGGUUGUAAACUGCUUUUGUACGGAACGAAAAGCCUUCUUUUAAUACAGGAGGGUCAUGACGGUACCGUAAGAAUAAGCACCGGCUAACUACGUG